UCAGAAACUCAAAGGAAGUUGACGGGGGCCCGCACAAGCGGUGGAGCAUGUGGUUUAAUUCGAUGAUACGCGAGGAACCUUACCUGGGCUCAAAUGUAUGUUGACGUAUUCUGAAAGGGAUACUUCUUCGGACAAUAUACAAGGUGCUGCAUGGUUGUCGUCAGCUCGUGCCGUGAGGUGUCGGGUUAAGUCCCAUAACGAGCGCAACCCCUAUCAUUAGUUGCCAUCAGGUCAAGCUGGGGACUCUAAUGAAACUGCCUACGCAAGUAGUGAGGAAGGUGGGGAUGACGUCAAAUCAGCACGGCCCUUACGUCCAGGGCUACACACGUGCUACAAUGGCCGGUACAAAGGGUUGCCAAGCCGCGAGGUGGAGCUAAUCCCAUAAAACCGAUCGUAGUCCGGAUCGCAGUCUGCAACUCGACUGCGUGAAGUCGGAAUCGCUAGUAAUCGUGAACUCAGAAUGUCACGGUGAAUACGUUCCGGGCCUU
This 488-nucleotide ribosomal RNA is filed under the name uncultured Sphingobacteriales bacterium. RNAcentral describes it as "bacterial SSU rRNA". It matches the Rfam family "Bacterial small subunit ribosomal RNA", at positions 893 to 1382 of the family's 1533-position model. The record is from RNAcentral. Lineage: Bacteria; Pseudomonadati; Bacteroidota; Sphingobacteriia; Sphingobacteriales.